UGGGGAAUAUUGCACAAUGGGGGAAACCCUGAUGCAGCGACGCCGCGUGUGCGAAGAAGUAUUUCGGUAUGUAAAGCUCUAUCAGCAGGGAAGAAAUUGACGGUACCUGAGUAAGAAGCUCCGGCUAAAUACGUGCC
Molecule: ribosomal RNA, 137 nt
Filed under: uncultured bacterium
Lineage: Bacteria
Description: partial 16S ribosomal RNA
Rfam family: Bacterial small subunit ribosomal RNA
Source: RNAcentral